GACGAACGCUGGCGGCGUGCCUAAUACAUGCAAGUCGAACGCACUCUCGUUUAGAUUGAAGGAGCUUGCUCCUGAUUGAUAAACAUUUGAGUGAGUGGCGGACGGGUGAGUAACACGUGGGUAACCUGCCCUAAAGUGGGGGAUAACAUUUGGAAACAGAUGCUAAUACCGCAUAAAACCUAACACCGCAUGGUGUAGGGUUGAAAGAUGGUUUCGGCUAUCACUUUAGGAUGGACCCGCGGUGCAUUAGUUAGUUGGUGAGGUAAAGGCUCACCAAGACCGUGAUGCAUAGCCGACCUGAGAGGGUAAUCGGCCACACUGGGACUGAGACACGGCCCAGACUCCUACGGGAGGCAGCAGUAGGGAAUCUUCCACAAUGGACGAAAGUCUGAUGGAGCAACGCCGCGUGAGUGAAGAAGGUUUUCGGAUCGUAAAACUCUGUUGUUGGAGAAGAAUGUAUCUGAUAGUAACUGAUCAGGUAGUGACGGUAUCCAACCAGAAAGCCACGGCU
Molecule: ribosomal RNA, 511 nt
Filed under: uncultured bacterium
Lineage: Bacteria
Description: bacterial SSU rRNA
Rfam family: Bacterial small subunit ribosomal RNA
Source: RNAcentral